UUUUUCACUCACGGAAUAAGUUAAAAUGCUGACAGCUUACAACAGAACAGGGAAAAAAUAAUCAUCUGCUGUGGGCGUAAGGUUUCACAAGCAGAUACUCUUAGUUCUCUGUUAGCUACAGAAAGUUUUGAAGUUGCUUUUUGUGGAUUACUGCACACACUGACUGCCAGUCAUCUGUUGAACCAUCUGUUAAUAGGAAACAUUUGUCUCCUGAACUGAAUAUACAAGUUAUUUUCUCUUAACUCUCCAAUCUUACCAGCUCCCACUAAAUAAAAUGGGGAAUGAGACUUCACGCUCAAAUACCCACGUGGCCAACGCAACCGGGAAGCAUCUUCGGAUUUUCUAUGGAGUGGAUACAAUGAGGCUGGAAGAAAUGGUGUUAAAUGCGGGGGGAGAGAUAGGAGGUACAGCAUCAAAAACUGAACAGUCAGUAUCAGGGAAGAUUUCCAGCGACGUGAAGAUGGUUUUUAAACCAGACUCCCGGAUCCGUUACCUUCACCUGCCGGAGAACGAGACGUGUAACUUUGCCGGGGAAGGCACCAUCUAUGCCUCUGUCCUUGUGGAAGAUAAAAACAACAACAAAAACUGCACUGAAAUCAUCUGCCACAAUUUCCAUAUCCCCAGCGACCGGUCUUUCAUUGUGACUGCUAAGCAUAGCAUCAAAUUGCAGAAGUAUGGUGCAAACAUUUGGGUUGACGAAGAAGGCCAUAACCAUCACCCUUAACUUUCCUCAUCAUCAUCCUCCUCCAUUAUCAUGUCAAGUUCUAAUUUUGAUAAGCAGAUAAGAUGGCCAUUUUGGCGAGGUCAAUUGGAAUAUUAAUAGUUUAGAUCAGUGGUUCUCAGCCUUUUUGACUCCAAGGCACCCCACUGUCCAAGACAAUAUUUGAAGGCCUCCUCCCAGAAACUAGACGUGUCUGAUUAAAAUAAUUAGUAAUGGAUAAUUUUUGAUUCUAGAAAUUCAGAAAGAGUCUGUUUAUAAUUUGUAGGUAUACAUCUUAAAGUAUUUAUUAGCAUUUUAAUUAAGUAGAAUUAUUUUAAUAUUUCUUAUUUAAAAUUAAUUUUAAGUCAUCUUGAGGCCACCUUGGAAGUGUGCUGAGGCCCCCUAGUGGGUCUCCUGGUUGAGAACCACUGGUUUAGAUAACAAAAUCGAUAUGUUUUUGACAACAAAGUAUGUAAGAAAUUUUUUUGUCUGGUAUUAAUUAAAGGAUUGUAUUUUAUAUAUGUGCUCUGAAAUAUAAAAAGCAAUGGGGACCUUUAAAAUGUUGUAAACACUUUAUUUCAUCAUUGUUAGAAACAUAAGGUGAAUAUUUCUUCUAAUGAAAACAUCUAUGCAUCAAACCUGAUAUUUGUUAUAUUAUUACAAUAACACGUAUGUAGGCUGCACAGUGACACUGCGAAUAAAAAACAUUGAAGAAGUAUAGUAAAGACACAAAUAUUUUCAACCAAUGGAGUCAAAUCCAUACCACAUAUAUUUGCAAAAAUAGAAAGUUUUGCAAAAGAAAAAAAGUAUUGACAAAAAAAAAAUAUUUUGUUGUAAACAAAAAUUAAGUAUCACAAAAGAAAAAUAAAGUUUUGCAAACAAAAAUAAAGAACUGCAAAAUAUAAAUAAAAUAUAGCAAAAAAUAAAGAUAUAAUUAAUUGAAAAAAUCAAUGAAUGUUGUAAAAGAAACUUAAGAACUUUGAUCCUUUUUAUCUCUGCAACAGAUUUUUAGCAGCAAUGAUUUUGCCACACAGUAAAGAUCCUUUUAAUCUGCGUUUCCAUCAAGUGUGAGCUCGUGAUACCGUUUUGCCUUUGUGCUUCACUUUUCUGUGCGUUUCACUUUAUGGCACUGUUUUGACGUGUGGGCGGAGUCAGGGGAUUGGGGCGUGUACAACGGGCUCAAGUUACGUCAUUAACUUGAGACACGGAUCAAUCAUCAUGGCCGAGCAGAGGCAUGAGGGUGGAUCUUAGGUAUGUAAAGUUGAUUGUUUCCUUUUAUUUAAUUAGCAUGAAAUGUGUAUUACCAGUGUUUACUUCAGAUAAAGAAGUUAGAGAUCAGUUAAAGCGGUGGAUUUAUUAGCCAUACUCGCUAACGUUAGCUAGCAGCUUUGGAUAGUGUACAUAUUUGUAAGUAACUAUUAGUGCUAACAGAUAAUUGACAAUCCUCUGAUGUCAAACAACAAACACGCUGUCAACAAGUCAUUUGUGUCUGUAUAGCAACUACACAGAAAGUAAUAUUAUAACAAAUUAAGCUGUAAUUUCCAUAAUAUCUUGUAGUCAAGAAGACCAUACAACCCUUAUUUUGCGUUUUGUAUAUUUCAUAACUAAUUUAAACUGUUACUAUUUAGGGCAGUGGGCACAAUGAUGCCAUCAGUGUUGAACUGGGAAAGAUGAUAAUGGAGAGACUGCUCUCCAAACUGCAGUAUGCAAUGAAUCGCCAACCAUUGGAUUUAGACUACUUUCAGUUUGUAUGCAACCAUGAGCUUCUUUUCAUCACCUCUGUGCAUAAUCAAAUUACAGUCCCAGAAGAACUUUUUAAUGAACUCUCAACCUUAAAAAACACAGUGGAGAGGCAUAUUGCAAAUAACAGUGCACCCAUAACUGCCCUUGAAGUGCAAUAUGGAGUAAAUGGACCUCCAAGGUUUAUUAUUUCCAGAGAGCAUCUUGAGAAACUAGUGAAUAUGCAGCUGUCUGUUCCAUGUAUUGCCCAGCUCCUUGGUGUGUCAACAAGGACUGUCAAUCGUCAUCUCAAUGAGUAUGGCAUUUCUGUAAAAGACACCUACUCUAAGAUCACAGAUGAGGAGCUUGACAACUUAGUUCGGUGAAGGCUGAAAGUCCACACCUAGGACAUAGAAUGAUGAAAGGACGGUUGCAAGCACUAGGUCACCGUGUGUCAUUGACAAGAGGAUGGGACUCCAUACAUCGAAUGGUGGAAUACUUGCAAGAAUGACACAGUUGAGGUGUAUAGUCAGAAGGAUUAUUCUGUGCGGGGCCCUCAUGUUGUUCACAUAGACACAAACUUAUAAGGUAUGGCCUUGUGAUUUUCGGUGCCAUUGAUGGCUACUCCAGAAAGAUCAAGUACCUUGGAGCUGCUACAGAUAAAGCAGCAACUGUUUUUGGUUUUUUUCCUUCAGUCAGUGGAGAGAGAUUGGUUUCCAUUAAGCAUUGAACGCCUUGGCGUGACAUAUGGAUGACAGUUACAAACAUCUUCUAUGAUGUCUUACACACUCUUGAGGAGGAAGGGUUACUUGAUCCAACCAACAGCCUGGACCUGUUUUGUUGUCAUUUUGUGUUCCUGCCUCACCUCCAGGCCAACCUUGAAUCCUUCACUUGUGGUUGGAAUAGCCAUCCUCUCCGCACAGAGGGCAAUCUGAGCCCCAACCAAAUGUGGGAAAUUGGGCUCAUUCAAAACCCUGUCACUCCUCCAGAAUCCCAUAGUUUAUAAAUUAAUUUGUUCUGUGCAAUUUCAUUUAUAGCACUUUCACCUAAUGUAUUGCACCAAUAAAACAUAAGUUGAUAAUAGUUUGACAUGUUUUCACAGAAUGUCCAGACCAGCCAUCCAGAGGAAUUGUAGGUCCUCCAGUUGAAUGCCCUUUGACUGAAGAACAUAUGGCCCAGCUUCAAUCUGUUAUUGACCAACCUCACAAUCUCAGAACUAUGGGAGGGACAAAUAUUUAGCUGUACUAAAUUUUGUGCUCCUUCAUUCUUAACUGACAGAGCACUUUACAAAGAAUCAUGACCAAAUCACUCCGUAGGCAGGACAGUUAUUCCCAAUUCAUUCGGAUUUUGUAAAAAAAAAAAAAAUAAAUAAAAAAAAAAUUUAAUAAAUAAAAAAAUCACAA
Long non-coding RNA from Myxocyprinus asiaticus (Chinese sucker), 3822 nucleotides. RefSeq lists it as uncharacterized. Lineage: Eukaryota; Metazoa; Chordata; Actinopteri; Cypriniformes; Catostomidae. The record is from RefSeq and is a predicted model, not a curated record. The transcript is spliced from 5 exons.